UCCAAGGGAGCAUCUGCCACGAGGAGUGCUGUCCACUGACGAACUUUGGCUGUGACGAAUUCAGGAUGAAAUUCAGCGUUGAACUGAAAUCACUCACUCCAGAGGAAGCCAGCCGCCAUGUUAUAAGGACACUCAGGAGCUCUAUAACGUCCACAUGACAAGGAACGUGGGCUUCCUGCCAACCACAGCCUUGUGAAUGAGCCCCUCUGGAAGCAGAUCUUCCAGCCCAGGCAAGCCUUCUAAAUGUCUACACCCCCACUGGCAUCUUGACGGCAGCCUCAUGAGAGACUCGGAAGCCCUGCUAAGUCACUUCCGGAUCCCUGGCCCCAAAAAAGCAUAUAUGGUGUGAGAUAAUUAAAUGCUAUUAUUUUAA
Lutra lutra (Eurasian river otter) is the source of this 373-nucleotide long non-coding RNA. RefSeq lists it as uncharacterized. NCBI's taxonomy places the organism in Eukaryota, Metazoa, Chordata, Mammalia, Carnivora, Mustelidae. The record is from RefSeq and is a predicted model, not a curated record. The transcript has 2 exons.